UGCCUACGGGAGGCAGCAGUGGGGAAUAUUGGACAAUGGGGGGAACCCUGAUGCAGCGACGCCGCGUGGGUGAAGAAGUAUUUCGGUAUGUAAAGCCCUAUCGGCAGGGAAGAAUUUAGACGGUACCUGACUAAGAAGCCCCGGCUAACUACGUGCCAGCAGCCGCGGUAAUACGUAGGGGGCAAGCGUUAUCCGGAUUCACUGGGUGUAAAGGGAGCGUAGACAGCCAUGUAAGCCUGGAGGGAAAGCCCGGGGCCCAACCCCGGGACUGCUCUGGGAACUGUGCGGCUGGGGUGCGGGAGGGG
RNAcentral lists this ribosomal RNA (305 nucleotides) under uncultured bacterium. Its description in RNAcentral is "bacterial SSU rRNA". It matches the Rfam family "Bacterial small subunit ribosomal RNA", at positions 335 to 657 of the family's 1533-position model. The record is from RNAcentral.